RNAcentral lists this ribosomal RNA (507 nucleotides) under Teichococcus oryzae. Its description in RNAcentral is "bacterial SSU rRNA". It matches the Rfam family "Bacterial small subunit ribosomal RNA", at positions 380 to 904 of the family's 1533-position model. The record is from RNAcentral. Lineage: Bacteria; Pseudomonadati; Pseudomonadota; Alphaproteobacteria; Acetobacterales; Roseomonadaceae.
AGCCUGAUCCAGCAAUGCCGCGUGGGUGAAGAAGGUCUUCGGAUCGUAAAGCCCUUUCGGCGGGGACGAUGAUGACGGUACCCGCAGAAGAAGCCCCGGCUAACUUCGUGCCAGCAGCCGCGGUAAUACGAAGGGGGCUAGCGUUACUCGGAAUUACUGGGCGUAAAGGGCGCGUAGGCGGCGCUGCAAGUUAGGCGUGAAAGCCCUGGGCUCAACCUGGGGACUGCGCUUAAGACUGUGGUGCUUGAGGAUGGAAGAGGCUCGUGGAAUUCCCAGUGUAGAGGUGAAAUUCGUAGAUAUUGGGAAGAACACCGGUGGCGAAGGCGGCGAGCUGGUCCAUUACUGACGCUGAGGCGCGAUAGCGUGGGGAGCAAACAGGAUUAGAUACCCUGGUAGUCCACGCCGUAAACGAUGUGCGCUGGAUGUUGGGUGACCUAGUCACUCAGUGUCGUAGCCAACGCGGUAAGCGCACCGCCUGGGGAGUACGGCCGCAAGGUUGACACUCAA